Molecule: transfer-messenger RNA, 397 nt
Filed under: uncultured Prevotella sp.
Lineage: Bacteria; Pseudomonadati; Bacteroidota; Bacteroidia; Bacteroidales; Prevotellaceae
Rfam family: transfer-messenger RNA
About the family: Bacterial tmRNA, also known as 10Sa RNA or SsrA, is named for its dual tRNA and mRNA-like properties. Its role is to liberate the mRNA from a stalled ribosome.
Source: RNAcentral
GGGGUUGACUGGAUUUGACAGCAAGUUGAGAUGGUACGUAAGCACGCGGAGUGACGGCUGUAAACUCCUAAAUCAAUUCGGUCAAAAAAUUAAUUGGCAACAAUGAGUAUGCUCUCGCUGCCUGAUCGAAGCAUAGUAGAUUAAGGCUCAAUCCGGUCACAAGGUGGCUGGACGAGACGUCGCUCCAAGGGUGUUGUUCCGAAUCCAAGGACCAAGCGGCGCAGGCAAAUCGGGAAUAGUCGUUCAUAGCCCCGUAUGCACGAUGAAAUUUUGGGGAUAAGGCUCCAGUUGGUGGUCCAGGUCUUGCUGUAGCACGAAAAUCAAAGGCUGGAAUAAGCGUGUAGAAAGCGUAUGGUUUCCUUGUUUGGACGCGGGUUCGAUUCCCGCCAGCUCCACA